GACGCUGUGGAGGCUGUAGAUAUGUAGAUGCUGCCGAGGCUGUAGAUGUUGAAGAGGUUGAAGAUACGGAAGAGGAGACAGACAUCAUCAGAGGUCGAGGAUGACACAAAUGAAGAAUAAACCCGGACGUUCCUACGAUAGGAGCUGGUUGAGCGACGACUAUGUGGGACAACGUCGUCUCUGCAUCCUUCCAGAUGACGCGAAGAACGUGACUGCAUCAUCAGAUUCAAGACUGCCAAGCUCCUUUUUAAAAGUAAACUCACAAGAAAGUCGGUGUCUACGAAAGAGUUGCCUGUAUCCUCUACAGUUAUCAUUGAGACCGAAGAGGGUGAUUUUCUGUAUACUGAGGUUGAGGUCCUCUGAGCUUUUUUUAUGACUUAGAGGAUUGCUAACGUGGACUUGCUGCCAAGGGGUCAUCGAAAACCUCUAGCGCAAGAUCUUUGACCUCGACCGAAGGCUCACAAGGGACCAGGAUCGCUGUCGAAGACUUGGCGAGGAAAGUUUCCAUCUACAAGAAGGUCGGACACACAUUCUGCGAUGACCUACGAAAAAGAUAGUGUCGGCAGUCUUAAGUUUUAAAAAGAAUUUAUGUGUUUUUCUGAAUUGAGGCAGACCAGUUUUCGAUUUUUGAAUUUUUUUCCUUUUCAAUUUGACUACGAAUAUUGAUUUUGGAAUUGAAUCUAUUCGCUAAAGUUACCUGACUAUAUUUAAAUAAAUUAUAUUGAUUAAAAAGAUAUUAAUAAAACAAAAUGUAAAUAAGUAAUUUUUUAAAUUUUGAAAAAUCUUAUCAAUUGAAAUUCAAAUCUCCAUUGAAAACUAGGAUUAGAUACCCUAUUACUAGAAUAACUCUUAUUAGAGUAGUAAAAAAAUCUUCUAACUUAAAAAGUUUGGCGGUAGUUUAAAGUAACUAGAGGGAUCUACUCUAUAAUGUAAGUGUUGUUGAAUUCUGGUGCUUAAUUCUUUUUUUACUUCUUUAUUUUUGUAUUUAUUGCGGUUCUUAACUAAUUUUAUCAAUUUUUAUAUUUACAACACUCCACAAAUUAGAUUAUUUUAAUUAUCUCUUUAUUAUUCUUGUUUUUUCUGCUCAUUAAUGUUUUGGAUUGGUUCCGUAUGUUUUAUCUUGUCCUAUGUCUUUGUAAAUUAGCAAUCGCCGUCGAUUUGCCUGUAGUGAAUAAAUAGAAAAUCAUAAAAUUCAGAAAUAAAGGAACAAGUACUCUGCUUUUCGUGUGAAUAGACACUUUAUCCAUGCAGGAUGAGGGAAUUUUUUCAAAAUUAAC
RNAcentral lists this long non-coding RNA (1277 nucleotides) under Bemisia tabaci. RNAcentral describes it as "lncRNA ENSASIAIIG001327". Lineage: Eukaryota; Metazoa; Arthropoda; Insecta; Hemiptera; Aleyrodidae. The record is from RNAcentral.